This 410-nucleotide ribosomal RNA is filed under the name Euborellia moesta. Its description in RNAcentral is "partial 16S ribosomal RNA". Lineage: Eukaryota; Metazoa; Arthropoda; Insecta; Dermaptera; Anisolabididae. The record is from RNAcentral.
AAAAUUAUCAGCUUGUCUGAUUUUAAUAUUUGAAGACGUGAAUAUAAAAUAAAAUUAGGUUGUAGCUCCAGCGUUAGAGAGGACAAUUAUCCAAGAGAGAUUCUCUUAAUGCGACAAUAGGGAUUCCAUAGAAAAAAUUUAAGGAUUUUUUCCAAAUAAAUAAGUAAAUAGACACCAAAUAAAAUCUUUAUAAAUUAAUAAAGAAUAACGGGGUUAUUGGGCCGAAAAUUUUGGUAUUUCUAGAUAUCCCAGAAUAGCAGAUUUUUAUAAUAAUUACGUAAAAAUGUAAUUUAAUUUAAAUAUCUUAAUAAAUACUAUGUCAAGUGGGGAGUAAGUUAGUAAGUAUGUUCAGAAGUUAAUUUUCUGAUGACUAAUACGAUGGAAACGUGCCAGUUAAAUGGCGCCGGGAA